CUUUGUAGCAUUACAGAGGCUGGCGACCGGCAAACGGGUGCGGAACACGUACAGAACCUUCCUUCGAGCGGGGAAUAGCCCAGAGAAAUUUGGAUUAAUACCCCAUAGUAUUACAGAGUGGCAUCACUUUGUAAUUAAAGAUUUAUCACUUGAAGAUGGCUGUGCGGCUGAUUAGAUAGUUGGCGGGGUAACGGCCCACCAAGUCUGCGAUCAGUAACUGGUGUGAGAGCACGACCAGUCACACGGGCACUGAGACACGGGCCCGACUCCUACGGGAGGCAGCAGUAAGGAAUAUUGGUCAAUGGACGCAAGUCUGAACCAGCCAUGCCGCGUGGAGGAUGAAGGUCCUCUGGAUUGUAAACUUCUUUUAUAUGGGACGAAAAAGGGUCUUUCUAGAUCAACUGACGGUACCAUAUGAAUAAGCACCGGCUAACUCCGUGCCAGCAGCCGCGGUAAUACGGAGGGUGCAAGCGUUAUCCGGAUUCACUGGGUUUAAAGGGUGCGUAGGUGGGUUGGUAAGUCAGUGGUGAAAUCCCCGAGCUUAACUUGGGAACUGCCAUUGAUACUAUUAAUCUUGAAUACUGUGGAGGUCAGCGGAAUAUGUCAUGUAGCGGUGAAAUGCUUAGAUAUGACAUAGAACACCAAUUGCGAAGGCAGCUGGCUACACAAAUAUUGACACUGAGGCACGAAAGCGUGGGGAUCAAACAGGAUUAGAUACCCUGGUAGUCCACGCCCUAAACUAUGGAUACUCGACAUACGCGAUACACAGUGUGUGUCUGAGCGAAAGCAUUAAGUAUCCCACCUGGGAAGUACGAUCGCAAGAUUGAAACUCAAAGGAGU
Molecule: ribosomal RNA, 840 nt
Filed under: uncultured bacterium
Lineage: Bacteria
Description: bacterial SSU rRNA
Rfam family: Bacterial small subunit ribosomal RNA
Source: RNAcentral